GACAAACGCUGGCGGCGUGCUUAACACAUGCAAGUCGAACGGAAAGGCCCUGCUUUUGUGGGGUGCUCGAGUGGCGAACGGGUGAGUAACACGUGAGUAACCUGCCCUUGACUUUGGGAUAACUUCAGGAAACUGGGGCUAAUACCGGAUAGGAGCUCCUGCUGCAUGGUGGGGGUUGGAAAGUUUCGGCGGUUGGGGAUGGACUCGCGGCUUAUCAGCUUGUUGGUGGGGUAGUGGCUUACCAAGGCUUUGACGGGUAGCCGGCCUGAGAGGGUGACCGGCCACAUUGGGACUGAGAUACGGCCCAGACUCCUACGGGAGGCAGCAGUGGGGAAUAUUGCACAAUGGGCGGAAGCCUGAUGCAGCAACGCCGCGUGCGGGAUGACGGCCUUCGGGUUGUAAACCGCUUUCGCCUGUGACGAAGCGUGAGUGACGGUAAUGGGUAAAGAAGCACCGGCUAACUACGU
RNAcentral lists this ribosomal RNA (467 nucleotides) under uncultured bacterium. Its description in RNAcentral is "partial 16S ribosomal RNA". It matches the Rfam family "Bacterial small subunit ribosomal RNA", at positions 28 to 506 of the family's 1533-position model. The record is from RNAcentral.